GACGAACGCUGGCGGCGUGCUUAACACAUGCAAGUCGAACGGUAAGGCCCUUUCGGGGGGGCACGCGUGGCGAACGGACGGGUAACUCGUGGGUGAUCUGCCUUGCCCUUUGGGUUGAGCAAGUGCAACUGGGUGUAGUACCGGAUGGAAAUACGCGCUGCCUGUCGUGUGGUGGUAGGCUUUGGCGGUGGGGGAUGGCCGCGCGCCCUAUCAGCUUGUUGGUGGGGUGGUGGCUUACCAAGGCGGGGACGGGUAGCCGGCCUGAGAGGGUGGCCGGCCACACUGGGACUGAGAUACGGCCCAGACUCCUACGGGAGGCAGCAGUGGGGAAUAUUGCACAAUGGGCGGAAGCCUGAUGCAGCAACGCCGCGUGGGGGAUGACGGCCUUCGGGUUGUAAACCCCUUUCAGCACAGACGAAGCGUAAGUGACGGUAUGUGCAGAAGAAGCACCGGCUAACUACGUG
RNAcentral lists this ribosomal RNA (464 nucleotides) under uncultured bacterium. Its description in RNAcentral is "partial 16S ribosomal RNA". It matches the Rfam family "Bacterial small subunit ribosomal RNA", at positions 28 to 507 of the family's 1533-position model. The record is from RNAcentral.